CCUACGGGUGGCAGCAGUGGGGAAUAUUGCGCAAUGGGCGAAAGCCUGACGCAGCGACGCCGCGUGAGGGAUGAAGGUCUUCGGAUCGUAAACCUCUGUCAGCAGGGAAGAACGGUCACUGUGCUAAUCAGCAGUGAAUUUACGGUACCUGCAAGGGAAGCACCGGCUAACUCCGGGCGAGCAGCCGCGGUAAUACGGAGGGUGCGAGCGUUAAUCGGAAUUACUGGGCGUAAAGGGCUCGUAGGCGGUAUGUCAAGUCAAGGGUGAAAGCCCCGCGCUCAACGUGGGAACUGCCUUUGAAACUGGCAAACUGGAGUGUGUGAGAGGAUAGUGGAAUUCCAGGUGUAGGAGUGAAAUCCGUAGAUAUC
Molecule: ribosomal RNA, 368 nt
Filed under: uncultured bacterium
Lineage: Bacteria
Description: partial 16S ribosomal RNA
Rfam family: Bacterial small subunit ribosomal RNA
Source: RNAcentral